AGGCUUAACACAUGCAAGUCGAGCGCCCCGCAAGGGGAGCGGCAGACGGGUGAGUAACGCGUGGGAAUCUACCUUUUGCUACGGAAUAACGCAGGGAAACUUGUGCUAAUACCGUAUGUGUCCUUCGGGAGAAAGAUUUAUCGGCAAGAGAUGAGCCCGCGUUGGAUUAGCUAGUUGGUGGGGUAAAGGCCUACCAAGGCGACGAUCCAUAGCUGGUCUGAGAGGAUGAUCAGCCACAUUGGGCUUGAGACGCCCACCAA
Molecule: ribosomal RNA, 260 nt
Filed under: Martinezella tropici
Lineage: Bacteria; Pseudomonadati; Pseudomonadota; Alphaproteobacteria; Hyphomicrobiales; Rhizobiaceae
Description: Rhizobium tropici partial 16S ribosomal RNA
Rfam family: Bacterial small subunit ribosomal RNA
Source: RNAcentral